UGGGUGAUUAUUAAAAUUAAUGAGUUAAAUCUAUUAUCUUUUGACCUGGAAUAAUGUCCACAAAAGUGAGAGAAGCAUGCUGCAUAAAAACAUAAAAACAAAGCAAAGAAUCCUUUAUAUUUCAUAAAUGAUUGUAGAGGUUUGUAUUAGAAUGAUAAAAGGUAUAGAAAUAUACACAGCAGAAUGUUAAAUUGGUUGGUGGGCAUGAAGAGGAGGUAGAGACGGUAAGGAGAUAUAGAGUUUUUUAAAAUAUGAAAAAAAAACGAAGCUUAACUUUCUUGGUCAAUAAAAGUGAAGAAACUUAAUUAAUUAAUUAAUUUUUUUUUUUGAGACGGAGUCUCGCUCGGUCGCCCAGGCGGGAGUGCAGUGGCGCCAUCUCGGCUCAGUGCAAGCUCCGCCCCCCGGGUUCCCGCCAUUCUCCCGCCUCAGCCUCCCGAGUAGCUGGGACUACAGGCGCCCGCCAUCACGCCCGGCUGCUUUUUUUGUUUUAGUAGAGAGGAGGUUUCACCGUGUUAGCCAGGAUGGUCUCAAUCUCCUGACCUCGUGAUCCGCCCGCCUCGGCCUCUCAAAGUGCUGGGAUUACACGCGUGAGCCACCGCGCCUGGCCUGAAGAAAGAAGUCAUUAAAGAAGCAACCCAUGGCAAAACUAGUUAUUUUCUUAAAACAGUAGGAAGAAGAAAAGCUUUUUGAAUGAAUCACUUCUCAUCUUCUCCGAAGUUGGAAGCAUCAAGAAUCUAAAUAAGCAUUUAUGAUGGCUGGCAUGAAUAUUUCUCUCCUUCAUCGUGCCUAUUUUAUGAACUUGAACAAGGAAGUUGCCACAACAUCUGUGGGCCAGAGAACUAUGCCAGAAUGUUAUUUCCAGAUUGCUUCCUGUAUUUACAAAGGUCUAUAGGUCCACUGAUACGGCUUUGCUACUCUACCCCGACACCCUGAGGACUAAUCUAUUAAUAGUAUGUACUUCUUAUAAUGAUGAGUGAGGCACAAAAGAGGAAGCAGAAACGCGGAAGAUAGAAUGGGAGUCCUAGUUGACCUUCAUAUAAUUUUUAGAAGAUGGAGCACUUCAACUUCUUCCACUCAUGAAAAGAGAGGUGACAGGUGAAGACAGAACAAGAAAACAAACCAAGAAUUUCCCCUCACCAGCCACCAGCUCUGCCAGCAACUUGAUCUUAGACUUCCCAGCCUCCGUAACGCCUCUGCUUAUAAUCUGUCAUGGAUUGGAAAACUAGAAAAAACAGUUUACAGAGUAUAACAAACUUUGGAGGAGUUAAUCGACUCUAAGUAAAAGAGUAUCUAGCACGGCUGUGGAACAAAGGAGAGACUCACAAACUGUUGAAAGAAUAAAUGAAUGAAUGAAUUCUGUUCAUGAGCUUUAAUAAAACAGCUCUGAGUAGUAACAGUGGAUCAAAUUUAGGCUUCUUGAUGCAGGCAUGGUGUAGAUUACUACUUCUGUAUUGUCCCAGGAGCUCAGCACAUUCCUGCAGAGAUGAUAGGAGCUCAUCUGAUACUUGUCAGCUUUGAAUAAACUCCAGUCCCCAAGAGAGAGAAUGAGAAUCACCGGAAUACGAAACUUCCCUGUUGGACUUCCCAACAUUCUUGAAUGCACCAAGAUAGCCUCUUGCUGUGAGAUUAAUAAAUGAAUAAAUGCCUCCAUAUUUUUCAAAUCUGUGAAGUUAACAACAUGUAGAUUUUUUUGCAUAUUUAAAAACUGCAACUAAAUCUUAAUGCCUCUGAAGCAGAUGGAAGAAAAUAAUAGGCUUCCAUUAACUGUGUCAAAUUGUAUAGGUCUUGGCCAUCACUGGUCCUGUUGUGAUGAAGGUUUUUUGCCCUUGGAUAUAAUUUAAUUUUCAAUUCUUCUAAUUAUGGUACUUCAGAACAUCAAUAUUUGAGAUGAACUUCUCUAGUGUCAAGGACUGAUUUGAGUUGUGUAAACCCUGAAUAUCUGAGACAGGUCUCGAUUAUUUUAGAAAGUUUAUUUUGCCAAGGUUGAGGAUGUGUGCCUGUGACACGGCCUCGGGAGGUCCUGAGGACAUGUGCUCAAGGUGGUCAGAGCACAGCUUUGCUUUAUACAUUUUAGAGAGACAUGAGACAUCAACCGACAUAUGUAAGAUGAACAUUGGUUCCAUCUGGAAAGGCGAGACAACUUCAAACGAGGAGGGGGCUUCCAGGUCAUAGGUAGAUAAGAGACAAAUGGCUGCAUUCUUUUGAGUUUCUGAUUAGCCUUUCCAAAGGAGGCAAUUAGAGUGAGCAAAAUGAACAAAAUCAAUUAUUUUGAUUCUGAACAAAAUGGGAGGCUGGUUUUCCCUAAGCAGUUCCCAGCUUGACUUUUCCCUUUAGCUGAGGGAUUUGGGGGGCCCAAGAUUUAUUUUUCUUUCACCGUUGUAUCAAACUACACAGGCGGCCUUGGAAACCAUCACAGUUGAGAGUAGGUAACGCCCAUUUGUUGCAUAGUUUUGUGCUCCACACUCUUAUCUACAAAAUUAUGAAUUUUUUUACAUAUAUUAAUUUCAGAAAAACUAAAAAUAAAACAAAGUAGUUUCAAACUAGUAUUGUUUUUAUAUCUUAAAAAUAAAGCUUUAUAUACUCUCCUU
RNAcentral lists this long non-coding RNA (2588 nucleotides) under Homo sapiens (human). RNAcentral's name for it is "HSALNT0310166". The record is from RNAcentral. Lineage: Eukaryota; Metazoa; Chordata; Mammalia; Primates; Hominidae.